CAGUCGCCACGGUAAUACGUAGGGUGCAAGCGUUAAUCGGAAUUACUGGGCGUAAAGCGUGCGCAGGCGGUUUGUUAAGACAGAUGUGAAAUCCCCGGGCUCAACCUGAGAACUGCAUUUGUGACUGGCGAGCUAGAGUAUGGCAGAGGGGGGUAGAAUUCCACGUGUAGCAGUGAAAUGCGUAGAGAUGUGGAGGAAUACCGAUGGCGAAGGCAGCCCCCUGGGCCAAUACCGACGCUCAUGCACGAAAGCGUGGGGAGCAAACAGGAUUAGAUACCCGCGUAGUCCCUGUCUCUUAUAC
This 301-nucleotide ribosomal RNA is filed under the name uncultured bacterium. Its description in RNAcentral is "partial 16S ribosomal RNA". It matches the Rfam family "Bacterial small subunit ribosomal RNA", at positions 509 to 807 of the family's 1533-position model. The record is from RNAcentral.